GCUGGGCAUGGUGGCACAUGCCUGUAAUCCCAGCUACUCAGGAGGCUGAGGCAGGAGAAUCACUUGAACCCAGGAGGCGGAGGCUGCAGUGAGCUGAGAUCGUGCCACUGCACUCCAGCCUGGGCAACAGAGUGAGACUUUGUCUCAA
Unclassified non-coding RNA from Callithrix jacchus (white-tufted-ear marmoset), 148 nucleotides. It matches the Rfam family "Metazoan signal recognition particle RNA". Rfam says of the family: The signal recognition particle (SRP) is a universally conserved ribonucleoprotein. It is involved in the co-translational targeting of proteins to membranes. Lineage: Eukaryota; Metazoa; Chordata; Mammalia; Primates; Cebidae. The record is from Ensembl.